UACGUAGGGCGCAAGCGUUGUCCGGAAUUAUUGGGCGUAAAGAGCUCGUAGGCGGUUUGUCGCGUCUGCUGUGAAAACCUAAGGCUCAACCUUGGGCUUGCAGUGGGUACGGGCAGACUAGAGUGCGGUAGGGGUGACUGGAAUUCCUGGUGUAGCGGUGGAAUGCGCAGAUAUCAGGAGGAACACCGAUGGCGAAGGCAGAUCUCUGGGCCGUAACUGACGCUGAG
Molecule: ribosomal RNA, 227 nt
Filed under: uncultured bacterium
Lineage: Bacteria
Description: partial 16S ribosomal RNA
Rfam family: Bacterial small subunit ribosomal RNA
Source: RNAcentral